This 5144-nucleotide long non-coding RNA is filed under the name Glycine max (soybean). Its description in RNAcentral is "long non-coding RNA (GMAX_LNC004064)". Lineage: Eukaryota; Viridiplantae; Streptophyta; Magnoliopsida; Fabales; Fabaceae. The record is from RNAcentral.
CAUCUACCAUUAUACCUACAAUGAUUGGCCAUACCAUUGCUAUCCACAACGGAAAAGAGCAUUUACCUAUUUAUAUAACAGAUCGUAUGGUAGGCCAUAAAUUAGGAGAAUUUUCACCUACUCUAAAUUUCCGAGGACAUGCGAACAAUGAUAAUAGAUCUCGUCGUUAACGUUAAUUUUAACAUAAAUUUUUAAAUCGUAAUUUAUAACUAAAUAUUACAAAAUGGAAUUCUUAUUAAAAUGAAAUUCAAAUCAUUUUUUUAUAAAAAAAAUCUUUAAUUAAAUUAAAUAUUUAAAUAAGUAUCAAAUGGUAACCCUUCUUAGAGCUUAAUUGUGGUUGCUCCAACCUGCCUAACCAUUGCCACCAACAUGUUCUAGUACCUUACACCGUCAUGCUCCACCUCUUCACAACCACGGGACAUUAUGCUUGAGCUCCAUGUAUGGACUCACCCAUUAAGAAAAAAAAUUUAUACAAGGAAUCUAUAUGUCCAUGGAUCACGCCAACUUCAUUGUAUUCGUCUGAGUCGGUCACCAAUUAUCGAACCUGACUUUGAUACCAAUUAUUGUGCAAUCGAGGGGUCGGGGGUUAAACAUUGGGGAGAUUUAUAAGGUAUUAUAUUGCUAAAUAUAAUACUCUUUUCUCAAAUUUGUUUGUUCCUAUUUAUAAGAUUCUUUUCAAGUUGUUUGUUUCAUUAAUUACUUUUUGACCAAAAUGUUCGUAAUUAUUUUACAAUAAAUACUAUGAAUUAAAAAGAUAUAUAAAUGCAUUAUCUCAAUCUCUUAUAAGGAUUGGAGAAGAAGCCCAGUACAUAUUAAUUAAUUAGAUAAACAAGAAUUAAGUAAAAAGAGAGAGAUCAUAACUCCUAAUAAUUUUGAGGUAAUUUUAGAAAACAACAUAAAUUACUAAUAAAUUUAAUGUUAUCAACUAUACUAACUAACUUUUUUAAAGGAUGUGAAUUAAUUAAAAAUAUAUUAUAUUUAUAGACAAAGAUAGAAAAUAAAAAACAAGUUGAGAAGUGGAUUCUCAAAUCUCGACUUCUCAACAUAAAAAAUAAUCAAACAAAAAUAUAAGAAAGGGGAUGAAAAGUGUGGGUUUAGAUGGAGAGGGUUUUCUCAAAAAUAGUGUUUAGUUGUAGUUGCUAAAAUAAUUUGUAAAGAUAAAUGGUUACUUUUAUCUUCCAAAGUGUAAAGUGAUUAAAAUUGAGUCACUGAAAGAACAAUUUUUUUUAUUUAACUAGUCUUUAAAUUAAUGUGUAAAAAGUAUAAUAAUAAUUUUUUUUAUUUAACUAGUCUUUAAAUUAAUGUGUAAAAAGUAUAAUAAUUUUAUGUUAUCGUUAAAUUUUGUGGAUCAAUUUGUUAUUAAACUAUAAUGUUAAAUUAUUAAUUUGAUAUUAAGUAAUGUUUUGAGGACUAGUUUGACAUUAUGUUAAAAAUAAUGGACUAAUUGAGCAUUAAGUUGUACGAUAGAAUGUAAUUUUUAUAGUUUUUUACAUUCAUAAACUAAAUUAAAAUUUUGUUCUUUUAGGAGUACAAUUGUCAUCGUUUUACACUUUUAGGGACAGAGUCAUCAUUUACCUGAUUUGUAAAGAGUAUUAUUUUGGGUUUUUUCUUUUUUGUUAUAUUUAUUUUUUUAAAACAAGAACUAUUAAACAACUAUUUUCCUCUUCCUUCUUAUUUUUAAAUACUCAAUCGAUGAAUAAGCAAAAAGCUAGUUAGUUAGCUCUAUUUAUACCCUUUUGCCCACCUGAUAUGUAUCCAUGAGUGUAGCUACGUACCAACAUGGGUAAUACAUGUAGUAUCGAGCUUUACAAAUGGUUAAGUGUCGAAUUUCCUGAAGAGUUCGCUCUCAUAUACCCUAAAGACAAAUCUAAGUAUAGCAUUUUUCAUUUGAGCAUCAAUCUAGAAAGGGUGCUAUUGAGACUCGCAAAUGCUUUGUGUGAUGAUUAUCUAGUGCAAUUACUUCACAUGGAGGUCACUGGUGAAAGCGACAACAACGGAUCAUUCAACUUAGGGCUAGUGAGAGUGGUUGCAGAUGGCAUCACUCCUGAACAAACAGUUCGUGACACCGAGCAUUUCGACCAUCUUUGUGGAACGAAAUCUUGCCUUUAUGCCGUGAUGUGAAAAGGUGGAAAUGCUAACGUUGGUUCUAAGGAGAAAAUGACUUGGGGGGUUCUUCACUCGUAUAACAUAAGUCUUACAACCCAUGUUAAAUAUUAUGUGAACAUUAAGUGUGACAAAGUGAGAGGACUUAGGGCCAAGUUUAGAGACCUUUUUGUACUGUCCAGGGUCCAUAAAAUAUACGAACAUCCAACGUGACAUUAUGAGACAUAUGUCAACCCUUCAUAUUAAUCCUGAUACAAAAACACAAACGUUCAACUCUUAACAGUCGAUCGGACUCCCAACUAACAAGUUGUCUCUAACCUCUUAAUAUUUGAAUAUAUUAUUUCUUGGCAAAUCUCCAACUACGUGCAAGCUACACAUUAUUUGUAAGUAACAAUUAUCUACUAGCUUUUAUCUCUAAGUUAUACAUUAUAUAUAACAUUAUCUAUAAACUAAGCUAUCAGUUAUCAUCUAUAAGCCGAUAAUUAUCUAUAAAGAUUGUAACAAUACCUACAAACAAGGAUCUAAAGCUUCCUCUCACUCCUAUAAGUAUCAGGUUCCCUAGUCCUCUCUAAACACAUUUACUUCAACACACUCACUUGAACUGACUCAUACAUGUUCUUAUACGCGUAUACUUAUCUGAAGUUGUUUGCUUCAAAUUUACAUGACCAAAAUUUUUAUAUGUGGACCUCAUCAUAGAAGGACCACCCCCACCCCCAUAAGGAUGAGCAGUUGCAAUUACUUAGUGAAUCAUCAAUAGUCCCAUUUGUAGCCACUGUGACUUGCCCAAAGUUGCAAUCUCCAUUGCUGUCUCCUUCAGCAGUGAUCUUCGUAUCAAAUCUUAUUGGAUGAUCUUUGUACAUGUUUUCAGCAAGUUUGCAUAGCACUUUUCCUCUGUUGACGCUUAAUCGAAAAGUGCAUGUUUUGGAUUCAUCAUCAGGUGAAGUGUAUAAAAGAGCCUAGUCUUCAGAAAAUUCUGAAUUUGUAAAUCUCAACCUUGAGCUCCGAGGUGAAUGAGUUGCCCAUAGAGCUUGGUCGUGUAUUUGUAUAGUAAGACCACUCGGAAGGGGUAGUAUAAUAUAGGUAGCUUGUAAGAGAACACUCUACCGAGAUGCAUAUUCUAUUCCAUAAGGAAAAUGCUUCAUAUGUAUAUAUUAAUAAUAACUAUUAAUAAUUCAUUUUCAUGAAACAGUAUUUUCAAAUAAUCCUAAUUUGAAAAUCCUAAAAUACAAACUAAUUAAUUUUGUUUUGAGAUACGUUAAGCCUACUUAUGUCCAUGGGAAAUUGCUUCCUGCACUCAUAUAUUACUUCCUGCACCCCUAGAAUCUUAAAUAUCCCCAAAUUGCACUUCUCUUAUUAUAAUAACUCCGUUUCUUCUUUCUUUCUCCUUUCUCCUUCACUGAUGCACUCUUAAGGUUCAAAAGGCAUGGUUUAUGGUGUGGUUUGCAUAUAUUCCCGAUGAAUUAGGCAUUUUUUUAUUUGGAUAUAUUUUUUAAGUCAUUUUUGGAAUUAUCCAUGUCGCAUUCUGAAAAUGCAAUUUCAAAAUGAAUGCAUAAUUCUGGAAAUGCAUUUCCAGAAGUAUUUUCUUAAUGCAUUUCAGAAAUGAAUUUCCAAAAUGAAACAUGCAUAAUUUCAUAAAUGCUUUUCAGGAAUUGAUUUUUUUUUUUAUGAAUUAUGGAUUAAGCUAUCCAUGAAUAUAUACAAAUCAGAAAAAAAGAAGAAGAAAACCCACUUUCUGGCUAGAGUGUGUCCACAAGAAAGAAAGAAAGGGAUCCUAGAAGGUUUCCACACACAAAAGUAAAGGAAUCGGGUGGAUCAGGUAUAAGAGAUAUUCAAGGGCAUUUUUGUCCAUUCAACUUGAUUCAAAAUUCUCACAAUACAGGAAGUAAAUUAUUUGGUGGCGGAAGCAAAUUCCCUUUCCAUGUAAGUAAAUAAAACAAACAGGUUGGUUCUAAUAAUACAAAGCCCAAAUAUCUAUCACCUAACAACCUCCCAAUGUCUCCAUGACUCAAGAACCUACCUCAUUUUGCAUAAAGCUCAUUUUGUAUAAUUUCCAUAAAAAAAAUGCUAUAUAAUUCGUAUAUAUGACUAAAUGUUUUAUUUUCUUCAUAUGAUUUAUAAAAAGUCGGAGCAUACGAUAAACUAGAUUUUUUGUUUUCAUGAUUAAGCCUAUACAUCUUUUUAAGGCCACAAUUAGAGAUACAAAAUAUGAUAUACUGUCAAAAGAGAGAAGAUAGUGGAUAUUGAGCAUGUCUAAUUAAAUGUAAGAAGAGAAAAAGUCUUAUUAUUUAUGUUUUAUAAGCAAAAUGAGAUUUAAAUGUUUUUAAUCUUUAAUUUAGAUUUUAAAAUGUUUCAUAUUAUACAUUAAAUGUGUAGUAAUAUUUAUAUAGACUUUAUAGAAUUAGAAAAUUUAUUUCAGCAAGAAAACUAAAUCAAAGUCUCCUCUGGGUCUCUCAGCUCUAUCAAAUAUGAAUCAUCCAUUAAUGAUUAGUUACGUAAACCAGUUGUUUCCCGCAUGAUUAAUGGAUAAGAAAAUAUAUCAAUGAGACGACGGUGACGAGCAUCCAAAGUGCCAAAGAAGGUAUGAAAAAACAACAUAAAAAGUCUACAAAAGAAUACAACAUAGAAGUCUACGGAAAAAGUGGGCCUUAAAUUUCCUCUUAAAAAUUGAAAGAAUCUCUUUUAACUACUUUAAUUCUCAUAAAAUAAUAUAUAUGCAUUUUUUGUUUAAUUCAUUUUAUAAAAUGUAACUAUUUAUUAUAAAAUUUUACGAGAAUCAGAUUUAUUUAUUUUUAAAUUGACCCCAAACAUUACAUAUAAUCUAUUGGUUAAGAAUUGCGUGCCUUUAAUUUUCUUAUAUUAUCUUGCAUUUAAUACUUUUAAUUUACUUUAUUUUUUUGUUACAAAAAAAUUCUGAUUUGAAAUGUUAGAGUAGUUGUAAGCUUUUUCAGCUUUUGGUUUUCAGACUUAAAUUUAAAAAUAAAAUUGUGCACAUAAAAUGGAGUUAAAAUGGUUUUUAAAUCAAUUUUAAAACCCAUUUUAAU